Molecule: long non-coding RNA, 230 nt
Filed under: Helianthus annuus (common sunflower)
Lineage: Eukaryota; Viridiplantae; Streptophyta; Magnoliopsida; Asterales; Asteraceae
Description: hypothetical non coding rna
Source: RNAcentral
GGAGAAACCCUUCUCCUUCAAUUGAGUUCAAGAAAUUCAGCCAAUUGAAGCCCUAAUCGUAGUUGUACUCAUGCAUGUCAAUGAUUUCUUGGUCAUCUAGCCCUAACAAAUACAUGAAUAGGAACCACACUAGCAUGGGCCAAGCAUGGAAGGCUAACGGGUCAAGAUGAGGCAAGGAAGCGGGUAUGAACACGGAUGCACAAGCUGAUACACGGACUUCUUCUGCUACU